RNAcentral lists this ribosomal RNA (469 nucleotides) under uncultured bacterium. Its description in RNAcentral is "SSU rRNA". It matches the Rfam family "Bacterial small subunit ribosomal RNA", at positions 26 to 518 of the family's 1533-position model. The record is from RNAcentral.
AGGAUAAACGCUGGCGGCGUGCCUAACACAUGCAAGUCGAACGUCUCUUCUUUCGGGAAGAGGAGUGGCGGACGGGUGAGGAACACGUGGGAACCUGCCCUUUAGUGAGGAAUACCGGCGAGAAAUCGCCGACAAGACCGCAUAGCCCUCUUUGAUGAGAGUCAAAGAAGGAAAGCUUCGCAAGAGGCGCUAGAGGAGGGGCCUGCGUCCGAUUAGCUAGUUGGUGGGGUAAGAGCCUACCAAGGCGUCGAUCGGUAGCUGGUCUGAGAGGACGAUCAGCCACACUGGGAUUGAGAACGGCCCAGACUCCUACGGGGGCAGCAGUGAGGAAUUUUCGGCAAUGGGGGAAACCCUGACCGAGCAACGCCGCGUGCAGGAAGACGGCCUUCGGUUGUAAACUGCUUUUCUUUGGGACGAGAACGGACGGUACCAGAGGAAUCAGCCCGGCUCACUACGUGCCAGCAGCCGC